GACGAACGCUGGCGGCGUGCUUAACACAUGCAAGUCGAACGUGAAUUUUAUGGAAUAGCCUUCGGGAUAGGAAAUAGAAUGAAAGUGGCGAACGGGUGAGUAACACGUGAGCAACCUACCUUACACAGGGGGAUAGCCGUUGGAAACGACGAUUAAUACCGCAUGAGACCACAGAACCGCAUGGUAAAGGGGUCAAAGAUUUAUCGGUGUAAGAUGGGCUCGCGUCUGAUUAGCUAGUUGGAAGGGUAAAGGCCUACCAAGGCGACGAUCAGUAGCCGGUCUGAGAGGAUGAACGGCCACAUUGGAACUGAGACACGGUCCAAACUCCUACGGGAGGCAGCAGUGGGGAAUAUUGCACAAUGGGGGAAACCCUGAUGCAGCGACGCCGCGUGAGCGAAGAAGGUUUUCGAAUCGUAAAGCUCUGUCCUAUGAGAAGAUAAUGACGGUAUCAUAGGAGGAAGCCCCGGCUAAAUACGUGCCAGCAGCCGCGGUAAUACGUAUGGGGCGAGCGUUGUCCGGAAUUACUGGGCGUAAAGAGCUCGUAGGUGGUUUGUCGCGUCGUCUGUGAAAUUCCGGGGCUUAACUCCGGGCGUGCAGGCGAUACGGGCUGACUUGAGUGCUGUAGGGGAGACUGGAAUUCCUGGUGUAGCGGUGAAAUGCGCAGAUAUCAGGAGGAACACCGAUGGCGAAGGCAGGUCUCUGGGCAGUAACUGACGCUGAGGAGCGAAAGCAUGGGUAGCGAACAGGAUUAGAUACCCUGGUAGUCCAUGCCGUAAACGGUGGGCGCUAGGUGUAGGGGGCUUCCACGUCUUCUGUGCCGUAGCUAACGCAUUAAGCGCCCCGCCUGGGGAGUACGGCCGCAAGGCUAAAACUCAAAGGAAUUGACGGGGGCCCGCACAAGCGGCGGAGCAUGUGGAUUAAUUCGAUGCAACGCGAAGAACCUUACCUGGGCUUGACAUAUACAAGACAGGCGUAGAGAUACGUCCUCCCUUGUGGUUUGUAUACAGGUGGUGCAUGGUUGUCGUCAGCUCGUGUCGUGAGAUGUUGGGUUAAGUCCCGCAACGAGCGCAACCCUUGUCUUAUGUUGCCAGCAUUUGGUUGGGGACUCAUGAGAGACUGCCGGAGUCAACUCGGAGGAAGGUGGGGAUGACGUCAAAUCAUCAUGCCCCUUAUGUCCAGGGCUUCACACAUGCUACAAUGGUCGGUACAACGCGCAGCGACACUGUGAGGUGGAGCGAAUCGCUGAAAGCCGGCCUUAGUUCGGAUUGGGGUCUGCAACUCGACCCCAUGAAGUCGGAGUCGCUAGUAAUCGCAGAUCAGCAACGCUGCGGUGAAUACGUUCCCGGGCCU
This 1350-nucleotide ribosomal RNA is filed under the name uncultured bacterium. Its description in RNAcentral is "partial 16S ribosomal RNA". It matches the Rfam family "Bacterial small subunit ribosomal RNA", at positions 28 to 1381 of the family's 1533-position model. The record is from RNAcentral.